AACGAACGCUGGCGGCAUGCCUAACACAUGCAAGUCGAACGAGACCUUCGGGUCUAGUUGCGCACGGGUGCGUAACGCGUGGGAACCUGCCCUUAGGCUCGGAAUAACUCCCUGAAAGGGGUGCCAAUACCGGAUAACGUCCUCGGACCAAAGAUUCAUCGCGUUUGGAUGGGCCCGCGUUGGAUUAGCUAGUUGGUAGGGUAAAAGCCUACCAAGGCGACGAUCCAUAGCUGGUCUGAGAGGAUGAUCAGCCACACUGAGACUGGGACACGGCCCAGACUCCUACGGGAGGCAGCAGUGGGGAAUACUGGACUAUGGGCGAAAGCCUGAUCCAGCAAUGCCGCGUGAGUGAUGAAGGCGUUAGGGUUGUGAAGCUCUUUUACACGGGAUGAUAAUGACGGUACCGGGAGAAUAAGCACCGGCUAACUCCGUG
This 433-nucleotide ribosomal RNA is filed under the name uncultured bacterium. RNAcentral describes it as "partial 16S ribosomal RNA". It matches the Rfam family "Bacterial small subunit ribosomal RNA", at positions 29 to 507 of the family's 1533-position model. The record is from RNAcentral.